RNAcentral lists this ribosomal RNA (403 nucleotides) under uncultured bacterium. RNAcentral's name for it is "bacterial SSU rRNA". It matches the Rfam family "Bacterial small subunit ribosomal RNA", at positions 29 to 433 of the family's 1533-position model. The record is from RNAcentral.
AUUGAACGCUGGCGGCGUGCCUAACACAUGCAAGUCGAGCGGCAGCGCGGGAGCAAUCCUGGCGGCGAGCGGCGGACGGGUGAGUAACGCUUGGGAAUCUGCCUAUUAGUGGGGGACAACCCGGGGAAACUCGGGCUAAUACCGCAUACGCACUACGGUGGAAAGCCGGGGACCGCAAGGCCUGGCGCUAACAGAUGAGCCCAAGUCGGAUUAGCUAGUUGGUAGGGUAACGGCCUACCAAGGCGACGAUCCGUAACUGGUCUGAGAGGACGACCAGUCACACCGGAACUGAGACACGGUCCGGACUCCUACGGGAGGCAGCAGUGGGGAAUAUUGGACAAUGGGGGAAACCCUGAUCCAGCGACGCCGCGUGGGUGAAGAAGGCCUGCGGGUUGUAAAGCCC